UGGGGAAUAUUGGACAAUGGGCGGAAGCCUGAUCCAGCCAUGCCGCGUGUGUGAAGAAGGCCUUUUGGUUGUAAAGCACUUUAAGCGAGGAGGAGGCUACUUGGAUUAAUACUCUAGGAUAGUGGACGUUACUCGCAGAAUAAGCACCGGCUAACUCUGUGCCAGCAGCCGCGGUAAUACAGAGGGUGCGAGCGUUAAUCGGAUUUACUGGGCGUAAAGCGUGCGUAGGCGGCUUCUUAAGUCGGAUGUGAAAUCCCUGAGCUUAACUUAGGAAUUGCAUUCGAUACUGGGAAGCUAGAGUAUGGGAGAAGAUGGUAGAAUUCCAGGUGUAGCGGUGACAUGCGUAGAGAUCUGGAGGAAUACCGAUGGCGAAGGCAGCCAUCUGGCCUAAUACUGACGCUGAGGUACGAAAGCAUGGGGAGCAAACAGG
This 430-nucleotide ribosomal RNA is filed under the name Actinomycetes bacterium. Its description in RNAcentral is "Actinobacteria bacterium partial 16S ribosomal RNA". It matches the Rfam family "Bacterial small subunit ribosomal RNA", at positions 355 to 776 of the family's 1533-position model. The record is from RNAcentral. Lineage: Bacteria; Bacillati; Actinomycetota; Actinomycetes.